RNAcentral lists this ribosomal RNA (459 nucleotides) under uncultured bacterium. RNAcentral describes it as "partial 16S ribosomal RNA". It matches the Rfam family "Bacterial small subunit ribosomal RNA", at positions 338 to 795 of the family's 1533-position model. The record is from RNAcentral.
CCUACGGGGGGCAGCAGUGAGGAAUAUUGGUCAAUGGCCGGAAGGCUGAACCAGCCAAGCCGCGUGAAGGACGACUGUCCCAUGGGUUGUAAACUUCUUUUAUCAGGGGACAAAGUCAUGCUCGAGUGCCUGUCCGAAGGUACUUUAAGAAUAAGGAUCGGCUAACUCCGUGCCAGCAGCCGCGGUAAUACGGAGGGUGCGGGCGUUAUCCGGAUUUUUUGGGUUUAAGGGGUGCGUAGGCGGGCUUUUAAGUCAGCGGGAAAAGCUCGGGGCUAAACACGGGAGUGCCGCUGGAACUGGGUGCCUUGAGAGGUCGGAAGGCAGGCGGAAUGCGUGGUGUAGCGGUGAAAUGCUUAGAUAUCGCGAAGAACCCCGAUUGCGAAGGCAGCAUACCGGAGCGGAACUGACGCUGAGGCUCGAAAGCGUGGGUAUCGAACAGGAUUAGAUACCCGUGUAGUC